GACGAACGCUGGCGGCGUGCUUAACACAUGCAAGUCGAACGGAAAGGCCCUGCUUUUGUGGGGUGCUCGAGUGGCGAACGGGUGAGUAACACGUGAGUAACCUGCCCUUGACUUUGGGAUAACUUCAGGAAACUGGGGCUAAUACCGGAUAGGAGCUCCUGCUGCAUGGUGGGGGUUGGAAAGUUUCGGCGGUUGGGGAUGGUCUCGCGGCUUAUCAGCUUGUUGGUGGGGUAGUGGCUUACCAAGGCUUUGACGGGUAGCCGGCCUGAGAGGGUGACCGGCCACAUUGGGACUGAGAUACGGCCCAGACUCCUACGGGAGGCAGCAGUGGGGAAUAUUGCACAAUGGGCGGAAGCCUGAUGCAGCAACGCCGCGUGCGGGAUGACGGCCUUCGGGUUGUAAACCGCUUUCGCCUGUGACGAAGCGUGAGUGACAGUAAUGGGUAAAGAAGCACCGGCUAACUACGUG
Molecule: ribosomal RNA, 468 nt
Filed under: uncultured bacterium
Lineage: Bacteria
Description: partial 16S ribosomal RNA
Rfam family: Bacterial small subunit ribosomal RNA
Source: RNAcentral